CAGCCGCCGCGGUAAUGCGAAGGGGGCUAGCGUUGUUCGGAAUUACUGGGCGUAAAGCGCACGUAGGCGGAUAUUUAAGUCAGGGGUGAAAUCCCAGAGCUCAACUCUGGAACUGCCUUUGAUACUGGGUAUCUUGAGUAUGGAAGAGGUGAGUGGAAUUCCGAGUGUAGAGGUGAAAUUCGUAGAUAUUCGGAGGAACACCAGUGGCGAAGGCGGCUCACUGGUCCAUUACUGACGCUGAGGUGCGAAAGCGUGGGGAGCAAACAGGAUUAGAUACCCCCGUAGUCCCUGUCUCUUAUAC
Molecule: ribosomal RNA, 301 nt
Filed under: uncultured bacterium
Lineage: Bacteria
Description: partial 16S ribosomal RNA
Rfam family: Bacterial small subunit ribosomal RNA
Source: RNAcentral